AUUGAACGCUGGCGGCAUGCCUUACACAUGCAAGUCGAACGGUAGAGUAGCAAUACUUGAGAGUGGCGAACGGGUGAGUAAUAUAUCGGAACGUGCCCAGUCGUGGGGGGAUAACGUAGAGAAAUUUACGCUAAUACCGCAUACGAUCUAAGGAUGAAAGCGGGGGGAUUCGCAAGAACCUCGCGCGAUUGGAGCGGCUGAUAUCAGAUUAGGUUGUUGGUGAGGUAAAAGCUCACCAAGCCGACGAUCUGUAGCUGGUUUGAGAGAACGACCAGCCACACUGGGACUGAGACACGGCCCAGACUCCUACGGGAGGCAGCAGUGGGGAAUUUUGGACAAUGGCGGAAAGACCUGAUCCAGCCAUGCCGCGUGUGUGAAGAAGG
RNAcentral lists this ribosomal RNA (383 nucleotides) under uncultured bacterium. Its description in RNAcentral is "bacterial SSU rRNA". It matches the Rfam family "Bacterial small subunit ribosomal RNA", at positions 30 to 414 of the family's 1533-position model. The record is from RNAcentral.